CACAUCCAAAGAGUCCAGGUAGCCACAGAGAAGAAUAGAUUGUUUUCGCUAGUUUCAUAAGUGAAAGUCAGCCUGGCAUCCUACUUUAGCUAGAAAACAACAUCAAACAAUGUAUAGUUUUGUGGGCCAAGAAGUUUAUGAGUAAAGAACAGAUCAAGAGAUAGGAAGUCUGUCUCCUAGCAUCACAUUGGCAACUAUGUACCUGUUUGAGCUUGGCACGCUGGUGUAUCUUCUUAGGGUGACUGACCUCCUCGUCUCAAGAUGGGUGCCACAGCUGAUGCCCAGAUGUUUAGGAAGACUUCCAGAGCAAAAGGGGACACAUUACCCAGGAUAGGAAGGAAUGGGGGCCAUGGUUCUGGUCACCGGCUAGUGCAAGGCGGUUUACACCUGGCUAGCUUAGAAGAAUGAGGCCGUGGGUACAGGAACUGCUCCAGGCGAGACUACCUCCCCAGGGAAACAGCACCAGAAAGAAGGUGUACAGUUUUCAUCAGAUUCUCAAAGUUGUCUUAAUCUUCAGCAUGUUAAGAAUCACUGUCUUGGAGAUAAGCUAUAUCGUCCACCUCAUUUCACCAGUCGAGAAACUGCCCACCGCCUCCCAAACCUGAAUGAUUAAGCAACUUGCCUGACAUUCUCCAUGAGUGUAAGGCAGAUCCCAGGCAUGGCCAAAAGUCGGUAGACUUUCAGGAACAUAGGAAUUAGAACCAUCCCCACCAACACCAGUAUCCUCUGGACCUUUCAGGCCAACGAUAGACACUAAAUUUAGUUUUUAAAAAUAUUGGUUUUCACCAUAACUUGUAAGUGGCUCACUGACAUUGUUGAGGAGGCAGGAUUGCAUCAGAGAAACACUGCAUUACUCGGGUUUACCAUCACCCACUUGGCCCUGAUUUAGGACAGAGGCUGCGUAUGUGCACGAAUAAACACUCCCUUCCUCCUGUACUGCAUCCUGCUCACGAGUUUGGUGCCUGUGGCAAGUGUUUGGUCUCCUUUAAUGAAGCCCUGGAGUUGGGGAGAUGCUGUCUCCUUUUGUUUCGUGGAGGAGUGCUGCCAUAUCUAGCCCUGAGAUCUGAAACCUCUACCACAGUUCUCGUCCAACACGGCUUUCAGGUGCGGGGCGUUUGCACAACAGUCUCUUGGACGAUAAUGGAGAAGAUAGAAUUUCACAGAUCAGAAGGAAGUGGCAUGAGUGGAAACCUGCAGAGGUUGAGUUUCCAUGCUCUUCCGCCCUCACCUCAUCUCCACCCCUCUCCGGGUCUGUCCGUGGGAUGCUUGUCCGCACACGUAACUACAAACUGCAAAGUCUGUAAGUAUUUGUUGUCAGCGAUCCACCAAUUAACAUGUAUUCUCCAUAUACAGUGUGUAAACUGCUUUGUCUUUAGCUAAGUGAG
RNAcentral lists this long non-coding RNA (1385 nucleotides) under Equus asinus (donkey). Its description in RNAcentral is "lncRNA (ENSEASG00005029677.1)". The record is from RNAcentral. Lineage: Eukaryota; Metazoa; Chordata; Mammalia; Perissodactyla; Equidae.